UGUAUGCCAUGCAUAACAUACUGUGGAUAGAAAUUACAGGGAAAGUUACUGGUAUGAUAAUUGUGGUUAUAUUAUAUUACUAUUAUAUUUAGUGUAUUGCUAAUCAAUAUAUUGUUACUUCCCAGAUGACAGCGGCUCACUUCAAGAGCAGGUGAAGCAAGUUGGGACAAUGUUGAAGACAUUUGCUCGCACUGGGCAAUCAGGUGCAGAUCAAACCCUAAUGCUGCGACGUCUUGGAAUUUGGCGAUGUUGUGCGUAGCAUGGACGACAAAAUGCUAUGCUGCAACGUUUCAGUGCCAAUGUGUCUGUUGGAGAGUUAUCCCUGCCAGGGGAUCUGUUACUCCCCCCUAGACACCCAGGAAGAUUUGGCGUUGCUUGACAACAGUUUGAGGCAGGAUAAAGAGCUCCAGCAACGAUUUCUUCGGUUUUUGGCAAUCAAAUGUGGGAGGGACCUAAAGACAACCGUG
Xyrauchen texanus (razorback sucker) is the source of this 467-nucleotide long non-coding RNA. RefSeq lists it as uncharacterized. Lineage: Eukaryota; Metazoa; Chordata; Actinopteri; Cypriniformes; Catostomidae. The transcript is spliced from 3 exons. The record is from RefSeq and is a predicted model, not a curated record.